This 439-nucleotide ribosomal RNA is filed under the name uncultured bacterium. RNAcentral's name for it is "partial 16S ribosomal RNA". It matches the Rfam family "Bacterial small subunit ribosomal RNA", at positions 339 to 795 of the family's 1533-position model. The record is from RNAcentral.
CUACGGGAGGCAGCAGUGAGGAAUAUUGCACAAUGGGGGAAACCCUGAUGCAGCAACGCCGCGUGGAGGAUGACGCAUUUCGGUGUGUAAACUCCUUUUAUAUGUCAAGAAAAUGACGGUAGCAUAUGAAUAAGCACCGGCUAACUCCGUACCAGCAGCCGCGGUAAUACGGAGGGUGCAAGCGUUACUCGGAAUCACUGGGCGUAAAGGACGCGUAGGCUGGUUGGUAAGUCAGGUGUGAAAUCCUACAGCUUAACUGUAGAACUGCACUUGAAACUACCAACCUAGAGUAUGGGAGGGGGAGAUGGAAUUAGUGGUGUAGGGGUAAAAUCCGUAGAUAUCACUAGGAAUACCGAAAGCGAAGGCGAUCUCCUGGAACAUAACUGACGCUAAGGCGUGAAAGCGUGGGGAGCAAACAGGAUUAGAUACCCUCGUAGUC